GACAUGCAGAGAACUUUACCAGAGAUGGAUUGGUGGCCUUCGGGAACUCUGACACAGGUGCUGCAUGGCUGUCGCCAGCUCGUGUCGUGAGAUGUUGGGUUAAGUCCCGUAACGAGCGCAACCCUUGUCCUUAGUUACCAGCACGUUAUGGUGGGCACUCUAAGGAGACUGCCGGUGACAAACCGGAGGAAGGUGGGGAUGACGCCAAGUCAUCAUGGCCCUUACGGCCUGGGCUACACACGUGCUACAAUGGUCGGUACAAAGGGUUGCCAAGCCGCGAGGUGGAGCUAAUCCCAUAAAACCGAUCGUAGUCCGGAUCGCAGUCUGCAACUCGACUGCGUGAAGUCGGAAUCGCUAGUAAUCGUGAAUCAGAAUGUCACGGUGAAUACGUUCCCGGGCCUU
RNAcentral lists this ribosomal RNA (402 nucleotides) under uncultured Pseudomonas sp. RNAcentral describes it as "bacterial SSU rRNA". It matches the Rfam family "Bacterial small subunit ribosomal RNA", at positions 983 to 1382 of the family's 1533-position model. Lineage: Bacteria; Pseudomonadati; Pseudomonadota; Gammaproteobacteria; Pseudomonadales; Pseudomonadaceae. The record is from RNAcentral.